CCUACGGGCGGCUGCAGUGGGGAAUAUUGCGCAAUGGGCGAAAGCCUGACGCAGCGACGCCGCGUGAGGGAUGAAGGCCUUCGGGUUGUAAACCUCUUUCAGCGGGGACGAAGCGAAAGUGACGGUACCCGCAGAAGAAGCACCGGCUAACUACGUGCCAGCAGCCGCGGUAAUACGUAGGGUGCAAGCAUUGUCCGGAUUUAUUGGGCGUAAAGAGCUCGUAGGCGGCUUGUCACGUCGGAUGUGAAAACUCGGGGCUCAACCCCGAGCCUGCAUUCGAUACGGGCUAGCUAGAGUGUUGCAGGGGAGACUGGAAUUCCUGGUGUAGCGGUGAAAUGCGCAGAUAUCAGGAGGAACACCGGUGGCGAAGGCGGGUCUCUGGGCAACUACUGACGCUGAGGAGCGAAAGCGUGGGGAGCGAACAGGCUUAGAUACCCCAGUAGUC
This 445-nucleotide ribosomal RNA is filed under the name uncultured Geodermatophilaceae bacterium. Its description in RNAcentral is "bacterial SSU rRNA". It matches the Rfam family "Bacterial small subunit ribosomal RNA", at positions 338 to 795 of the family's 1533-position model. Lineage: Bacteria; Bacillati; Actinomycetota; Actinomycetes; Geodermatophilales; Geodermatophilaceae. The record is from RNAcentral.